GUCGUUAUCAGGUGUUGCUUAAAAGGUUUGGUGUAGUAGACUGGUUUAGUGUUUGGGGUAGUGUUUGAGGUUGCGUUUGAGGUUGCGUUUGGGGUUGCUGUAGAUGAUUGUGUUUCCGCCUUUGAUGACUUUUCAGCGACUACUUUUGAAUAGGAUAGACGAGGAUAUUCAGCUAAUGUUGAGUAAGGGUUUGGAGUUAAAGUCUUUCUUUGGAUAUGUGGUUGGUUAUUGAUAUAAUCCGAUGCUGUCAUCGGUUUUUUCAUCUUCUGGUCACUCAUUUUGAAUAUCUUGUUGUUGUUGAUUAUCUUUUGAUUUUCCCUGCAAAUAUUCUCUUGUUAGAAAGUCGGGUAAAGAAUUUUUUUCUCCUUUAAUAUAUUGAAUAUCAAAAUCGAAAACAGAUAAUAUUGCUUGCCAUCUAGCAAAUAUUUGUUUUGAUACUAGAUUUUUGACAUCUUU
This 456-nucleotide long non-coding RNA is filed under the name Brassica napus (rape). Its description in RNAcentral is "long non-coding RNA (BNAP_LNC004156)". Lineage: Eukaryota; Viridiplantae; Streptophyta; Magnoliopsida; Brassicales; Brassicaceae. The record is from RNAcentral.